UUUUAAGACGCCGUGGUGGCAAUUUAGGGAUUUCACCCCUGCUUUAACUCAUUGUCGUUCUUGAACAUCAAUCGCCAUGGUUCAAUGCGACCUUUCGGUACCUGUCACUCGUCAGUUCCCAUCUCCCCUAUAACCUAAUGUUCGAUUCUUAAAGCUUCCAUCAAUGGCGAUGAAUCCCAUCUCCCCUCUGGCUUGUUUUUCGUUUCUUACCUCAAUCAACCAGAUCUUGUGAGAUGGAUAGAAUGUUCAAAAAUCUAGGGUUCAAUGUCAGAAUUGCAAGGUGAAAACGAAGAUUACAAUUGAUUUGAGAUCCUCCCACGAAGAUUCACAAAUAGAUUUGAUUACAAGACCCUAAAAUCGUUCAAGUUGGGGCCAUUUGGAAUCGCAUUGAUUUGACUUGCUGUAGUCAGAGUAGACUUUGAUCCAUUCAAGUGAUAAAACUGCUACUGGAUUUGCCAUGUAGACCAGACACCAAACUACCAGGGUUGGUGACGAUGGGCUUUAAGGAUGAAAAAUGUUGAGGUAAUCACAUGGUAAAACCGAUGGCGCACUACUCUUGGAGUGUACAUAUUUCAGUACUAAAAUCACAAGUUUACACAUUCUUAUAGUGGUUUAAUCCAUGUCUUUGACCGGUAUUGUUAUAGUUUGAAGCAAAGUUGGGUAAUCGGAGAUGAUACAAUAAAUGAAACUGCAUCUUUAUAAGUUUUUGUUUGUUGGUUGCAUGAUUAUUCUUUGUUUAGUUUAUUGUUUUAAUGUUUUUCUUGUUCAUGGUUUAUAAACUAUGCAAGCACUCCUUUAUAGUUUUAACUCUCUGUAACAAGUUUCAUAUCAUAAUUUAUGUCUUCACUAAUCAGUUUCCAUAAUUUAACUUCAUCUUACAUUUACAAGCCGGUUUUCAUUUCUAUGAUCAAAGGUUAGUACAUCUUCAUUAUUUGGGAUGGUUUCACUCGCAGUACUUGAUGUACCUCCACACCGCUGAUGACGGAUGUCCCGUCUCGACUGGACCAGUACGAGGUUUGGUAUGCUGGACCAGUAGUAGGAGGUUUAGUGUGCUGUUUUACAGGGUAAGUGGUUUCAUUUGCGAUAGUUCCACUCGCGGUAGUUGAUGUACUUCCGUCCUGCCUCGGGUGGACCAGUAGGAGGUGUGGUGCACUGGAUCAAUAAGGGGUUUGGUGGCUGGUGCACCAAUCCUCCAUCGUCAUAUCGACCUCCUUGGGCCAUUAGACAAAUAGGUAUUAACCAUGAGACCUUGAGCCAGAACUUAAAUAUGUAUAUAGAUAGUGACACCAAGGAGAUGACAAACAAGACAUAAAAUUAUUACCUGUUACUGGCAUAUGUCAUUAGCAUUCUUAUUAACUUUAAAUGAGUACCGCCUUUAAAAUUGCGGUUUGAGUGUGGAAUGAAAUCUGUUCCAAAUCUAUACAAAAACACUUCGUAAGCAAUUUAAGAUCAGACCAUUAUUUCUUGUAGUUUGAACUGAUGAUCAUGAUCUUUGAAACUAAAAAAAAGAAACACAUCUCUUUAUUUAAUAGCUUCAUCUAUUAUGCACCUUUGAUAUUGUAAUAUUUUUGUAUGUUCAUCAAUAACAUCGUUACUGUCAUAUGUCAUUAGCAUUCUUAUUAAAUUUAAAUGAGUAUUGACUUUAAAAUUGCAGUUUGAGUGUGGAAUGAAAUCUGUCCAAAAACACUUCAUAUAUAACGUUAAAAACAAAGAUCGAAAGGUAGGAAAGAGUGGAAUAACGCCGGUGUCCGGCGAGAGGAAGGUGUAAAGUGGGCAUUUCGUUGUAGAGUGCUUUUUUUUGACGUAUUGAAUUUGGCAGAAACUACACACGAAAGGGUAUAAAAGACACCCCCAAGUCCAAAAAUUUAAGAAGAUGGUCUGCUGCUGCAAUACUUUCAAAAAAGAAGGCUUUGCUACUUGUCAGAAAACUUAAAAAUUCCUUGCAUGCAAACAGCAAAUUGCAUAGGAUUUUAUAUUGAUUUGUUGUUUUUGAGUGGCAUGGAAAGAUGUUCGUGGCAUCAUCUACUUGAAUGAACUUCAAGUAUCAAAUUCUCAUCUUCUUUCUUUAUUUUGUUUAUGAUUUACUGAAUUUUAUAUGUGAUUACUUUAUGAGCAGACACGUACUUAUCUUGCUAUUGAGGCAAAAUAUGAGAUGGAAAUUUGAUAGUCCGUAUAAUUUUCUGUGAUAUAAGCUGGGACACCCACCGCAACGCGCGGGCAUUCUCAUUUAUAAUAAUAAUAUCCAAAUAUAAUGAAUAUUUAAGGCAUGCCGGGAUAGAUUCUGAUAUCCAAAAGAGACUUGGUGUUACCCGCCGCAUCGCGUGGGCCAACCCACUAUACUAUAUAAUACAUUUCCUAUGUACUACUGAAACGUAAUUUUCCCUUGAAAUUUUAAGAUGGCAGACGAAGAGUCAAGCCUUCGAAUAUGCAAGAAACGUAAUCUUAACCGGAUCCAGAGGUUCUUUCAGGGGCUGGCUUGUUGAAUAACUUGAAGACGUUUAGGUCGCCGCUGACGCCUUAAAACAUCCGAACCGGCCGGAUAGAAUACCAUGCUCUAAGAUCACAUGGCCUCCUAUUGAUUUUGGCAAGUAUGUAACACAU
This 2601-nucleotide long non-coding RNA is filed under the name Helianthus annuus (common sunflower). Lineage: Eukaryota; Viridiplantae; Streptophyta; Magnoliopsida; Asterales; Asteraceae. The record is from RNAcentral.